AACGAACGCUGGCGGCAUGCCUAACACAUGCAAGUCGAACGAGACCUUCGGGUCUAGUGGCGCACGGGUGCGUAACGCGUGGGAACCUGCCCUUAGGUUCGGAAUAACUCCCCGAAAGGGGUGCUAAUACCGGAUAAUGUCUUCGGACCAAAGAUUUAUCGCCUUUGGAUGGGCCCGCGUUGGAUUAGCUAGUUGGUAGGGUAAAAGCCUACCAAGGCGACGAUCCAUAGCUGGUCUGAGAGGAUGAUCAGCCACACUGGGACUGAGACACGGCCCAGAGUCCGACAGGAGGCAGCAUUCGGGAAUAUUGGACAGGGGGCGAGAGUCAGAUCGUGCUAUCCCGAGAGAAUGAUGAAAGACUAAGGGGUGAAUAGCACUUGUACCCGCGAUGAUAGUCACCGAACCGAGAGAAUAAGCUGGGGAUAACACCG
RNAcentral lists this ribosomal RNA (431 nucleotides) under uncultured bacterium. RNAcentral describes it as "partial 16S ribosomal RNA". It matches the Rfam family "Bacterial small subunit ribosomal RNA", at positions 29 to 505 of the family's 1533-position model. The record is from RNAcentral.